UACUGGUGCUACUGGGGAAGAUAAAUUGUCAAAAGUCAAAAGAUGGGAUGGAAACCUUCUCUCAGUUCCUCAGGACAGAGUUCAGGGAGGAAGACAUCAAGUUCUGGUCGGUCUGUGAAUACAGAACCACUGAUCCAGGAACAGAGCUGCUGUCCAAAGCCAGAUCUAUUUCUACAGCCUUGAUGGAAGCAGAGGCCUCCAAGCAGAGUGUGUUGAUGUUCUACCAGAGCUUCCAGU
Long non-coding RNA from Cyprinodon variegatus (sheepshead minnow), 237 nucleotides. RefSeq lists it as uncharacterized. The record is from RefSeq and is a predicted model, not a curated record. NCBI's taxonomy places the organism in Eukaryota, Metazoa, Chordata, Actinopteri, Cyprinodontiformes, Cyprinodontidae. The transcript is spliced from 3 exons.